CACGGCAUACAGCUCAGUAACACGUGGCUAACCUGCCCUUGGGACGAGAACAACCCCGGGAAACUGGGGCUAACUCUCGACAGGCGAAGAACUCUGGAAUGAGUCUUCACCCAAACAGUUUAAGGUUAUGCUCUUUAAACCGCCCAAGGAUGGGGCCGCGACCGAUCAGGUUGUUGGUGAGGUAAUGGCUCACCAAGCCUUUUACCGGUGCGGGCCGUGGGAGCGGGAGCCCGGAGAUGGGCACUGAGACAAGGGCCCAGGCCCUACGGGGCGCAGCAGUCGCGAAAACUUUGCAAUAAGCGCAAGCUUGACAGGGCUAUCCCGAGUGCCAUCCGCUGAGGAAGGCUUUUACCCAGUCUAGAACGCUGGGGGAAUAAGGAGAGGGCAAGUCUGGUGUCAGCCGCCGCGGUAAUACCAGCUCUCCGAGUGGUGUGGAUGUUUAUUGGGCCUAAAGCAUCCGUAGCUGGCUAGGUUAGUCCCCUGUUAAAUCCACCGAAUUAAUCGUUGGAUUGCGGGGGAUACUGCUUGGCUAGGGGACGAGAGAGGCAGACGGUAUUUCCGGGGUAGGGGUGAAAUCCUAUAAUCCCGGGAAGACCACCAGUGGCGAAGGCUGUCUGCUAGAACGCGCCCGACGGUGAGGGAUGAAAGCUGGGGGAGCGAACCGGAUUAGAUACCCGGGUAGUCCCAGCUGUAAACGAUGCAGACUAGGUGUUUGAACGGCCACGUGCCGUUCUAGUGCCGCAGGGAAGCUGUUAAG
RNAcentral lists this ribosomal RNA (757 nucleotides) under uncultured archaeon. RNAcentral describes it as "bacterial SSU rRNA". It matches the Rfam family "Archaeal small subunit ribosomal RNA", at positions 77 to 819 of the family's 1478-position model. The record is from RNAcentral.